RNAcentral lists this ribosomal RNA (529 nucleotides) under uncultured bacterium. RNAcentral describes it as "bacterial SSU rRNA". It matches the Rfam family "Bacterial small subunit ribosomal RNA", at positions 57 to 518 of the family's 1533-position model. The record is from RNAcentral.
GCAAGUCGAACGAGGUGGCCCACUGAUUAGAUGGAAAUUGGAGUGCUUGCACAAAGACGGAAAUCUAUGACGUGGAUCUUCCACCUAGUGGCGCAAGGGUGAGUAACACGUGGGUAAUCUACCUUCGAGUCUGGAAUAACAGUUAGAAAUGAUUGCUAAUGCCGGAUGAUAUUGAGAACGAUACUUCUUUCUUUAUUAAAAGGGGCCUUUAAAGCCUCGCUUGAAGAUGAGCCUGCGCCGUAUUAGCUUGUUGGUGGGGUAAUGGCCUACCAAGGCAACGAUGCGUAGCCGACCUGAGAGGGUGAUCGGCCACACUGGGACUGAGACACGGCCCAGACUCCUACGGGAGACAGCAGUUAGGAAUAUUCGUCAAUGGGGGAAACCCUGAACGAGCAAUGCCGCGUGAAGGAAUGAAGGUCCUAUGGAUUGUAAACUUCUGUUGUUAGGGAAGAACGAGUUGUAUAGGAAAUGAUACAACAAUGACGGUACCUUUCAAGAAAGCUCCGGCUAACUACGUGCCAGCCGCCGC